AACGAACGCCGGCGGCAUGCCUAACACAUGCAAGUCGAACGAGACCUUCGGGUCUAGUGGCGCACGGGUGCGUAACGCGUGGGAACCUGCCUUUAGGUUCGGAAUAACUCAGAGAAAUUUGAGCUAAUACCGGAUAAUGUCUUCGGACCAAAGAUUUAUCGCCUUUAGAUGGGCCCGCGUUGGAUUAGCUAGUUGGUGGGUAAAGGCCUACCAAGGCGACGAUCCAUAGCUGGUCUGAGAGGAUGAUCAGCCACACUGGGACUGAGACACGGCCCAGACUCCUACGGGAGGCAGCAGUGGGGAAUAUUGGACAAUGGGCGAAAGCCUGAUCCAGCAAUGCCGCGUGAGUGAUGAAGGCCUUAGGGUUGUAAAAGCUCUUUUACCCGAGAUGAUAAUGACAGUAUCGGGAGAAUAAGCUCCGGCUAACUCCGUGCCAGCA
This 439-nucleotide ribosomal RNA is filed under the name uncultured bacterium. RNAcentral's name for it is "bacterial SSU rRNA". It matches the Rfam family "Bacterial small subunit ribosomal RNA", at positions 29 to 513 of the family's 1533-position model. The record is from RNAcentral.